This 3239-nucleotide long non-coding RNA is filed under the name Sus scrofa (pig). RNAcentral's name for it is "lncRNA (ENSSSCG00065012971.1)". The record is from RNAcentral. Lineage: Eukaryota; Metazoa; Chordata; Mammalia; Artiodactyla; Suidae.
AGUGAUGAGGGCAGGAGUCAGGGACCCUGGCCACAGUGAGGCGCCUCCUGGUGCUGCUGGGAGGGUCUCCAGCCUGUUGGUCCAGACCUGAGGUUUGUCUCCUGCACCUGUUCUGAGCAUACUCUGCCUAUCUGAGGCUGUUUAAUCCUUUAUGAUGGUUUAAAAUAUGUCCACCAAUUCUUUGGUGCUCCCUUUAAAAGGUGGAGCCCAAUUUUUCUCCCUUGACUGUGGGCUGGACUUAGAGAUUUGCUUCUAACAAAUAGAAUAAGAUAGGAGUGAAGGUGUGACUCCUGAGAUGAGGUCAUAAAUGUAUUGUGGCUUUCCUCUGGCUCUGGGGAGGCCGCUACCAUGUCCUGACACUCAAGCAGCCUUGUAGGAAGCUCAUGUGGGGAAGAGCUGAGGCCACCUGCCCACAGCCCUGGGAGUCAGCCACCUUGGAAGUGAAUCUUCUAGCCCCAGUCAAGCUUUUAGAUGCCUGAGCCCCAACCAGCAUCUUGACUGGAAACACACGAGAGGACUUGAACCAGAGCCACCCUGCUAAGCAUCUCUCAAAUUUUUGACCCACCCAAACUAUGAGAUAAUAAGCAUUUUUUGUUUGUUUGUUUAAGCCACUAAGUUUCGAGUUAUUUGUUACACAGUGAUAGAUAACUAAUGCACUCCUACAUCUGUUUUCUUCCUCAGGCAUUUGGCAUUUUGCGGGAAAGGGUUUUAAAUCAUUUUCCAAUUUCUGCUAAGGAUUUGCAUGGAAAAGUGGAAGUCCAGCAGGGGAAAUUUUUAGGCUAGAAGUCAGGAAGUUUUAACCCUGAUUUUGCAUAUGCAUGGGAUCCUGUGGAAUUUGCCCAGUUUUUUUUUUUUUUUUUUCUUUUUAUGGAUGUACCUGCAGCAUAUGGAAAUCUCCAAGCUAGGGGUCGAAUCAGAGCUGCAGCUGAGGCUUAUGCCACAGUCAUGGCAACAUCAGAUCUGAGCCGCAUCUGUGACCUAUGCUGUAGCUUACCCCAACGUCUGUUCCUUAACCCACUGAGAGAGGCCGGGAGUCAAACCUGCAUUCUCACAGAGACUAUGUCGGAUCCUUAACCUGCUGAGCCACAAUGGGAGCUCCUGCCCAAUUUCUUUAUCCUUUUGAAUCAUUGUGAUCUCAUCUGCGAAAUGGGGCUAAUAGUGUUUGUCCUGUGUGCUUACAAGAUUGUUUUAAGGGUCAUAAAUGUGAAAUAUUUCAUAAAUAAUAAAACGCUUUACACACAUGUGGAUUAAAAUGUUGGGAUUAAACACGAACUAUGAUAGGAUUUAAGGUUCAUUCAUCAUAUGAGCUAUCCUUUUUUGGAAUAUUUACUCUAUUUAAAUCCUGACAAGUUCUAUGAAGGUUGGUGUUUCUGUCCUCAUUUUAGGAUUAAAGAACCAAGGCUCUCACAUUCACGUUGCCCCCAUUUACACCCUGAAGAAGCCAGAGACUUGCUCAUCUCCAUGAAUAGCCCUGGGCUCUGGCCCCUGAGUUCCUCUGCUGCUUCAUCCAUCUGCUAGCAGCCCGUCAAAGGCUCUGGGAGCUCAAUGCUCAAGAUCCUGACCAGUUCCUUUGUGGAGUGAGCCAGUUUAACACGCUUUAUGCUGGGUGUGUCCUAGGGGAGUGGGGACAAGGGCUCGAGGGGGCUAACUGACUCAGACCCCUCUCAGGAACCGUAAACCCAGGCCUCAUUGAAGGGGAAAAGGUGAUAGACCUGCAGGGGGAGGUCUGGUCGGUGUGAACUUAAAAGCCAGAUUUGCUACAUUUAAGUGGGUGAGGAGGAGCCUGCAGGGAGGUCCUGAUCCAUUAGCGCUCGGGGCCCUGCAAGGCCUUCAGACCACUUCCCCACUGGGCUGAGAGCCUGGCCCUCCCACCCCGAUUUCUUGUUUAGGGACAGGGGAGUUGCUUCAGGGAGUCAGGCCACACAGUCCAGAGCCAAGAGGCCAGCUGCCUUACAGACAAGUGCUGCCCUGCACGGCCUCCUGCCCCCGAUCGUCCGCUCCUGCAUCUGCCCUCUGUCCCCUUUGUGGGCCUGAUGUCUACCCGUAGAGCAGGAUUUUGGAGACUCUCCCCGGGCAUGCCCUGCUCAGGCCCCAGGGGAUCCUGCCUCUGGCCUCAUCCUGGUGCCUGGGCUGCAGUCAGCGAAUUCAUAUCCCUUUUGCCUUUUGAAAAGGAGGGUUCCUUUGCUUUUGUGUGGUCCAGGGAGGAAACCCUGCUCUCUCCCAGCCUCAGAGCCACAGGCAGCCUUGGGGGUGAGGUGGGGAUAGCCGCCCUUUGGGGAUUAUGGGGAGAAGGACACAGUGCAGAGGCUGGAGGCUGGGGGGAGGGUGGGGGCAGCCUGACGUCUCUCUGAGCCUGAGAAAUCUCUCCUGUUACUGCUUGUGGGCCCAGGCAAAUGAUCUCGUGGCUCUGGGAGUACCUGGUUGCCGCCCCGGCUCAGGAAGGUCAGGAAGCUGCUGAGUGGUCUUUUCCUCUCCCCUUGCCGUGUGUCUCUGAAGAUGAGUCAUUCUCUUUCCCCUCCCGCCUCCCCCACCUCCCGCCCUCCCUUCCCCACUCAGUCAUCGGAUCUGGGGUGGAAUCACAGCCCGGCCCGGCUAUCAGGGGCUCUCCAUGAGGGGUGGCCUCCCAGGUCCCUCAGCAGGGCAGGUGAGCCCCAUCCUAGGCCCGUGGGCCUUGGGGCUCAGCCUCCUUAGUCUAAUCCCCUGAAAUAACUAUCAAGUAGCUCCUAUGGGUCAAAUCCUCUGCUAGACACACAGGCGAUGAGGGGCCUGAGUCCUGCACUCACAGCACCUUGAGUUGAGUGGAGGAGAGGAAUGUUAAACAUGAAAUCACACAACGGACACGUCAUCCUAUGUAAUGAAUGCUGUGAUGUGUGUUAUCAGGAAAAAAGUGCAGGGAGCUUUGAGGAGGCAUGAGAAGCGCCUCAUGUGGGGUGAGGGAUGGUUAUAAGGCCCCCUGAGGAAGAAUAAGAUGAGACCUGGGAAGUUCCCAUCAUGGCUCAGUGCUAACAAGCCUGCCUAGUAUCCAUGAGGAUGAGGGUUCGAUCCCUGGCCUUGCUCAGUGGGUUAAGGAUCCCACAUUGCUGUGAGCCGUGGUGUAGGUCACAGAUGCGGCUCAGAUUCCACAUUGCUGUGGCUGUAGCGUAAGUUGACAGCUGCAGUUCCAAUUUGACCCCUCGCCUGGGAACUCCAUAUGCCGCAAGUGUGGCCCUAAAAAGCAAAAAAAAAAAAAAAAAAAAAAA